UUAAAGAUACUUCCGUCCAGUCGACAGGCCGAGCGUGAAGCGGCGUCAACCGUGAUCCGUCGCAGCCAACGAGGGCGGCUCUGUGAGAACCACAGGGUGGUGAGAUUCCAAUGA
The submitters of this non-coding RNA (114 nucleotides) gave its source as unclassified sequences. The record is from Rfam.